Molecule: ribosomal RNA, 117 nt
Filed under: Sinocyclocheilus grahami
Lineage: Eukaryota; Metazoa; Chordata; Actinopteri; Cypriniformes; Cyprinidae
Source: RNAcentral
GACCACAGCCAUAUCACCCUGCAGCCCAAGACUGGUUGCCCACUGAAGCUAAGCAGGGCUGACCCUGGUUAGUACCUGGAUGGGAGACCUCCUGGGAAAACUAGGUUGCUGUUGGAA